ACGAACGCUGGCGGCGUGCCUAAUACAUGCAAGUCGCACGCUUCUUUCCUCCCGAGUGCUUGCACUCAAUUGGAAAGAGGAGUGGCGGACGGGUGAGUAACACGUGGGUAACCUACCCAUCAGAGGGGGAUAACACUUGGAAACAGGUGCUAAUACCGCAUAACAGUUUAUGCCGCAUGGCAUAAGAGUGAAAGGCGCUUUCGGGUGUCGCUGAUGGAUGGACCCGCGGUGCAUUAGCUAGUUGGUGAGGUAACGGCUCACCAAGGCCACGAUGCAUGGCCGACCUGAGAGGGUGAUCGGCCACACUGGGACUGAGACACGGCCCAGACUCCUACGGGAGGCAGCAGUAGGGAAUCUUCGGCAAUGGACGAAAGUCUGACCGAGCAACGCCGCGUGAGUGAAGAAGGUUUUCGGAUCGUAAAACUCUGUUGUUAGAGAAGAACAAGGACGUUAGUAACUGAACGUCCCCUGACGGUAUCUAACCAGAAAGCCACGGCUAACUACGUG
RNAcentral lists this ribosomal RNA (507 nucleotides) under uncultured bacterium. RNAcentral describes it as "partial 16S ribosomal RNA". It matches the Rfam family "Bacterial small subunit ribosomal RNA", at positions 29 to 507 of the family's 1533-position model. The record is from RNAcentral.